Molecule: ribosomal RNA, 200 nt
Filed under: uncultured eukaryote
Lineage: Eukaryota
Description: partial 18S ribosomal RNA
Source: RNAcentral
GACGAACUUAUCAGCGGUCUCCACGCCUGCUUCCGUUCCGGCCUAAUAUAGAAAUCACUAUGGAAGCCAAUCCGGCACUUUGAACAGGAACGUUUCAAAGGCUUCCGUGCAGCCGGUAUAAAUCGCCUGUCGGUAGGUAUCCAGAGUUUCAAUCCCCAGCACCUGCAAGCCUGGGCCGGGUACAUUCACAGGCCGAAGCC